Ochlerotatus camptorhynchus is the source of this 7631-nucleotide long non-coding RNA. RefSeq lists it as uncharacterized. NCBI's taxonomy places the organism in Eukaryota, Metazoa, Arthropoda, Insecta, Diptera, Culicidae. The record is from RefSeq and is a predicted model, not a curated record. The transcript has 2 exons.
ACUCUGAGUACAAAAUUACCAUAAUUCAGUAGCAUAAAAGUAUCGAUUUCUCAGUAUGUAUUUUUGUUAACUGAACUGGCAUGAAUAUAAAAUGAACAAUCGUUGCCCAUAUCAGUAAAUCGGAGUUCACCAGUUCCAGAUUUGAAUAUUAUUUUUCCAUUCAACAUGAUUUGAAUGGAAAAUUGAAUACAGUGCUCAUAUUUAUUCUACAACUGAUUAAUAAUUUCUGGCAUAAUUAUUAAACAAAAACUCUACCAUGAAGCUCUGGAUUUUUGGGAAAAAAAUUAGACUAUACGAACAAAGGUUUUGAAAACGUACUUUUCAUUUUCUUCAUUUAUCCUUUAUGUAACGUCAGUAUCUGAUCUGCAAUCAAGCUCCAAUAAACAACGAGCGGCGAUUGCCAAUUUACGAUUAAUUAAUUGGGGGCGACCCCGGCGUAGUGGUUAACAUCCAUACCUUUCACGCCAAAGUCACGAGUUCAAAUCUCACCCCCGGACAAGUCACGAAUGACCCAAGUAACACUCUUGGGCUGUAAUUUAAACAAGAUUAAUUAAGGCUUAGACACCACACGUGACCAGAGAUUUUUUUUCACAUCAUAAAAAUCCCAACGAACUCGGCUGAGAUUGAACCCAGACACACUGGGAUGAGAAAGUAGUAAUGCUUUCUACUCAUUACUCGAUUACUUUUUCGAAGAGACGUAUCAGCUUUUGUGAACAAUGCAUUUGAUCGUCGAUUUGGCUCGCUUGGUAGCUCGCCCUUACAUGCUAACACUACCAUCAGAUAAGUUAAAUUUUCCCCUACCUGACAGGAGUGCUAGUAUGCGUGGGUGAGCUACCAGCUACGCGAAAUCGACGAUCAAAUGCAUUGUUUACAAAAGCUUAUACGUCCCUUUGAAAAAGUAAUCGAUAUAUAACAUAAACUAAUGUUUGGUCAAAUUAAUCCUAUCGAAAUCUUCUCAAAGCUGAACACGCGAAAGAAGUAUAACAGCCAUAGUAGUGUGCUCAAUGUCAAUCCUCUUAGUGGCAUCGACGAACAAAUCCAGGAAAUCAUUUAAAUUUUCAAAAAGACUCACUACUGCAGUCUUUCGUUACAUUGUUGCACUUCUAUAUAAUUAGAUUUGAUAUUUUUCAAUGUUCCUAUACUUUCUAACACCGUAAACCAAUUCACGCGCACAGUCAGAGUACGGCUUCUGGGUUUGUAACAUUGUAACACUCCAGAGCCCAAUUGUGAAAUUAAGAGUUCAAAAUAAAGGUGCAAAAUUUGUCAAAAGGUAAUAAUCAAUCGUAUCAAGGCAUUUUCAACAAAAAUUGAAAAUCCCCAUUUUGGCGGUGCCAGUGAUUCGACCCCAACCAAUAAAAGUGAGAAUCCUAUACUUGACAUGAGGGGAAAUUUUCAAGAUGACAGAUCUGAUGGAGCUGUUUCCUAAAAAAAAAAAAACAUCAAGAUUCCCGCAUAGGAAAAUUGCUCCUAUUGUUCCGAGUUGAUCUGUAAGUUGAUCAUCAUGUUGAAAGUGACAUGUCAAACAACCGAUAAGCAUUAGUUGGUGUUUCUUUAUCUGCUUUUUAAAGAAUGCUAUUAGUUUCUAAUUAACCAGCAAUUUUCUCAAAUUUACUGGUUUUGUCGUCGAUUAAUGCAAAUCAAUUAUUUAAAACCUAGCUAACAAAUUAAUGUAUUGAGAAAACUGGAACUUUCUUACAGUUCAGAGCAUCAUCCAUCAAUUAUUGGAACACCCCAGCAAACAAUUUUAGCUGAAGAACGGCUUAUAUAGACAACAAUUAGCUGCAUAAGCGUGUGUUUGCCACUUUAAGCUGCUCUGCAGCUAAAAUUGAAUGCUGAUAUAUGAUUAAUUAUAAUCCUUAUGUGUUAAAUGAUAUCGCGGAGAGUUUAUCGGCUUUGGCUGAUGGGCAAUAUUUAAUCGUUUAAUUGCUUGAUGACUGCAAGGCCGAUAAACUCCCGAUGAUAAAGUUCCUCUUUUGGUAGCAUCCAGUGAAAUGGAAACUGAAAAAAAAGUUCACCUAAAUCAAAUGAUUGAUACUUUUUCAACGAACUUCCUCAGAAAAUCUCGAAUGAAUUGAAUCUCCAGCGGUGCACUGCAAUUAUUGAUUGUUACCGCUGUGUGAGUUUAGCUUUCCUCAAGUUCCUGCAAAUCAAAGUUGUGUUUGAGUUCCAAUGUCUUUUUCAAAAUAAGCAACAAGUAAACUAGUCCAUACUUUUAAGAAAUAGCCCUGAAUGAUCUACGUAACAUACUGCACAAUUUAAAAGAUCUGUAAACAUUCUCUAAUCGAAGGCAUGAUCCGAGAACCAUGCAUAAUUUAAUGGUCCGAUCAGUUUCCUCAUCCCGCAGGGUUUGUGGAUGUGGUGUGUAUUUUAACACUAGAAGUACGCAAUAUUCCAAACCCCGAACCUAAAUCAUUCAACUUCAUACACAUCAGGUUCAAACGAGGCUCCACAUUUGAAAGGCUGCUUCAAAUAAUCAACCCUGCAUAUAUUAGCUUCGUAUACGUCAUGCACGGACGUUCUAAUAUAUUAUCAGACGAUGUACAGAAAGAAUGCCGUUUACAGAAAGAAUGCAGCAUUUUGACCAAUUUCAAAGACACUAAAAGCAAAUGCUAAUAAAUUUAAUUAAAAUUUUUCAGCAAGUCCCAAUACUUAUUCGAAUUGAAUAUGAUUUGUUUUGAGUGUUGCCAAGCUAGGAUGCUCAUGGUGUGAAUUCACCAAAAUGCAUAACUAUAGGCGAACUUGCUCCAAACCAACUGCGUUGCUAUUCGAAGAUAGGGCGUCUCCAUGUGCACGGAUGGAUGAGGUGCUGGUGAAGAGUAUCCCUGCGGUUAAGGUCGAAACGUUGUCUAUAGUCGAAAUGACUAUGUGUGACCUGAAGAACACGAGCUGCAUCGACGAUGAGUAUUGAGGAUCUAGGGUUAAACGGCAGAUCUGUCGUUGUUUGUCAAAGAAGUUUCAUCACCACUGUCAUGAGAGAAGGACCACAUUCUAUGUAUUUAUUCACAUAAAUUUUGAACACGACUUCGCCGAGGAUUCGAAUGCAAGAUUCUACUGGUGCAAAAGUUGGUGCACAUGACCGGAAACAGUAUCAUGUUGCUAGGCGCGUUUUACUACAAUCAAUGCUACUCGUGUUGAUUCGAGAAAUUCACAUCAUAGAUUGAUCACCUGCGUACUUGAUUAAUUUGGCAAGGCAUUUUUGACCAGCACCUUCCGGUCGUAUGAAACAAGUCCAAAUUUGUCAAAAUCCACCUGGAUUUUUGUUUGCUUAAGCACUGUUUAUGGCAAAAAAGUGAUUUUUUCAUGAGCAUUAACUUCAAAUAACUUACCAACACUAGUGGACCGUGAGUAUUUGACCACCUAUAUAUACCAUCAUCUUGGUCAAGCUGUAUGAUAUGGUUUUACAGUUCUGUACAAUUCAUGUACAAAAUUUUGUAUUUUACACGCAGAGCUGCUAAUGACGUUACAAGGUUUGUAAUUGCCGAAUGCCUCGGUAGAUCAGUGAGAAGAACGUUGACAUCAAACAAGCUCGUAAGCUGCAGGGUUUUUUGGACAACAUUCAUAUGCUAGUUUCCUGGUGACUUCGGUUUAUAAAAUAUUGCAGAAUUUAAUCAACAACGAAGGAUUUCCGCAGGACAGUACGAUACUUGGGACGAUCAGCUUGGGUCAUGAGUGGUUCAAAAGGAUUUCAUGGAGCCCAAGAUGGAUCAUUUGGUAGGUGUUGGUAGUGCUAAAAUAAAUCUACCACUUAAUAUUUCAAAGUGAGAUCCAUGUAGCACAGUGGGGCAGCGAAUCCAAUAGCCAAAAACUCUAGAGUGCCUUAAAAAUGCUUGAUAGAGAUUUGCGAUUUUCGAAAAAGUAGCUCAAUUAGUUCGCAUUCCCGCUGUAUCGGUGGCGCUUGAUUUUUUGUUUUAAUUUAAGUAUCCUAGGAAGAUGGUUUCUGCAAGUUGUGCAUUUCAUAAAACUGAGAAACAAUGACGAGAACAUUUAAAAAAUGUCACUCACUGAAUGCCUGACGCACCAAAACUUGCUGCAAAAAAGGUGAUUUCACAAAUUUUUACGUAGGGUAGAUCCAAAAUUUAUACUGCAGUUACACUAUUUUUUUUUCCCACCACAACACUUCGCUGAUUGUAUUUAAAAUAUUCCUUAGACUUUCAGCUUCAGUUAAGGUUUUUUUGGCUGAGCAAGCGCAUUUUUACAGUUUUUUCUUGAAAUGAAACACACACACUACAAAAUGCUGCUAAUUUCGAAUUGCCAAUAGAAAAACAGCAGAUUAACAAACAGAUCAAAUGGAAAGGUUGCCGAAAAAAAGGAGGUUGAAGACAACAGUCAUGCCCACCUAAGAAUUUCGGAGCGUUGUUAAAGUGUUUUUAAACAGUGUUGGACAAUUCUAACGACUGGAAUGAAUAAAGCAGUAGGCAGCAGCUGAAUGUAAACAACCAAACACGGCAACUGUGCUGGUUACAUGGAGAAAAAACUCAUAGACUUCUAUGGACGCUGCUUAGAUUGCCGAGAAUACGUAAAAUCCCCUAUAUUGGUCAGAAAUUUAUGGUUUUUUCGAACACUGAAAAAAGUUUCUGUAUAGUUUCUAUUAGAAACGCACGUAAUAUUUUUCGAAUACCAAAAUUAAUGAUUUUUAUAUGAAUAUCACAUAACAUAAACAUUCUAUGUUAGUAAUCAUCUAGAUUUCAUUAGACACAUAAGGUGGUGCAAUUUCCAAUGAUGAAAUUGCAUGAAAGUUAUGUGAAGUUCACAUGGAUACUUUACGCUGGUUGAACAUGUAAGGAAAGUAUGAUUAUUUAUGGAGAUCCCUGAUCACCUGAUGGUCUUUGGAAUAAUUUCUGAGCAACCUUGUAGUGUGGGUGAACAUCUAAGAGGUGAUUUAAAUUGUUGACCAGUUGAAGAUCUUCAGAAUUAUACUAAAUCAACCUGAGGACAUGAGAACAUCCUGAGAAGAUUUUUGAGAUCUGUGAUCACCUGAAGGUCUUUGGAAUAUUUUCUGAGUCAGUCUGAGGUAUCAUGAGGGAAUAUCUGAAUAUAUGGUUUGAAUUUUUGGAUAGUUUGAGAUUCUGAAAAUCAACCUGAAGUCUUGAAAACGUAACCAGAGGUCUUUAUAGACAUCUUAAACACAUGAAACAAUCAAAAUUGAUUAAUGAGGGUUUUAGUAGGAUAAUUGUAUACCUUAUAAUAUUGUUUUUCCUUUAAAUUUUACUACUGUUGUAUCACUUUCACUUUCACUAGUUCACUUUCACUAUCACUUUGAAAAAAUAGACUCAGCCUAUAACUAGACACUGAAGAAGUUUUCAAGUAGUAAACGGGAUACGUAUAUGUUAUAGUCUUUUUUAAGUGAUAGUGAAAGUGAAUUAGUGAAAGUGAAAGUGAUACAACAGUAGUAGAAUUAAAAGAGAAAAACAACGUAAUAAGGAAUACAUGGAAAAAUUUCUGAGCUGCCUGGGAGGAUAUUUGAGAGAUCUAAGAACUCCUGAAGAUCUUUCGUAUAAUUUCUGAGCAGAAUAUCUUCUUGAUGUAAAAGACGCAAGCGCUUUCCUUAAAUUCUGUAAGGAACCAUAGAUUUCCAUGAAGUUCUAUAAUAUUCUAUCAAAUUAUUUAAACUACGAUGAUGAUCUUUUAUGAAAUACCUCUCACUGCUGCUCAAUCUCAUGAUAUGAAUUCACCAUGAAGCAUAACUUUAGGCGCACUUGCACCAAACCGAUGACGGUGCUGGUGGGAGAUGGUGCGUCUCCAUAUUGGACCCAAUAAAGGACGAAUUGCUGCAAGAUUAAAAUAACCGUAAGCCGGGGCAAAUCGAUCACUGUUUAACGUAAAUAUCGAUAUAACUUUCAACCUGAAACCACUAGCUAUGAGGACUUUAUCGUUCUGCAUAGUUACUUGGCUGUUGUGUUUAUUUUUAGGAAAAUGUUGACAUCUCAUAUAUGCAUAUGUCGAUUUGGGAUGAAAUUGAUCAACCCUUCAAAUCGCUACCUGGUACAUUUCUAGUUAAUGCGGUUCAUGAAUUUGGGUUCCCUGAUUCCGAAUAAAACGUCAGAAGUGUAUUGUAAGCAAAAUCUUCCAAAAUAGAUUCCUUGAAAUACACAGCAAUUGCUUUCAAAAUGUUAAGUAAUUUGACGAAAAUCCUCUUAUUUCUUGGCUAAUAAAUCUUGUUCUAUACCUCGAUAUCGCCAUAUCUCGAUGGUCCCUUUAAUAUCAAUAUAUGUAGAGUUGCUAAAUCUGUUCGAAAUAUUGUUAAAAGUUGAGUUUGACCAAACUUAUAACCGGCCAAAUUAGUAUUAAUGUCAAUCGAAAUCUUUCAGAAAAAAAUGUUUCUAGGUGAAAAAUAGGAAAACCAGACACGACCGGUACAUUCCAAUACCUGCCCGUAGUUUAUCCCUAAAACCUCACCUACAAAAAAAGGAGCGAUUAUGUCUGCUCAUCAUACCGGUUUGCUGCUAAAAAAACAGCAUUCCGGAAGUCAUCAAUCAACCUUCCACCAGACAGCGUAUGUUAAUCGUCUUUCACAACCCAACUUUAAGCUACAGCUGAAGCCUUUCCAUCUUAAAGGUCCGGGGAAGGAGCUCCACCCGCAGCUAAUGGUUUUAUGUGCAUCACUUCUUCUUCUUUUUCUUCGCAUUUCAAGCUUAUUUGCUUAUUGCGUGCUCUCAACUUAGUGUUCCAAAUGCACUUCCACAGUUAUUAAUUGAGAGCCAAUUACCAAUGCAUGAAUUUGUAUAUUGUGUGGCAAGCACAAUGAUACUCUAUGCCCAGGGAAGUCGAGAAAACUUCCAACCCGAAAGAUUCCCUCGACCGGACCGGGAGUCGAACCCGCCGCCUCUGGUUUGGUAAUACCGUACCUUUACUGACUAGGCUAUGAGGCCCCGCAUCCCAGCACCAUCAUUAAUUUUCCGUCCUUUUUCCAACCCGAUAAAAGGCACACUCAAAUCAACCAAAGCGAAAACUUUCCACCAACUCAUCAUCAUUCCGGCCUAGUUUGGUCAUCUGACUUGGCGGCCUGCAGCACGUGCUGCGGUAUGAUAUCAUUUUACACCAUUUCAAUUUUCAUCGCCAACAAUAUUGCAACUUUCGGUUCUCCCAGUCCAUCCCAUCGGAGCCCGGGAUCAUUUCUGAGAAAUCCACCCUGAGACCGUGACAUAGUUUAGUUCCUUUUUUUUUAUUUUUUUCGGGGUGGAUGUGACAUUUUUGUGAGUGCUUUAAAAUUGAACCAUUUGAUUGCUCUCGCUUCCACGUGAUGUAAUAUUCCAUCUCUCCCUCUAUUUCGUUCUUUCUGUUGCUCUCUAUUGAUCGAAUCAGAAUGUGAUAUUAUUUUGCUUGGUUAUAGAAAAUGCUCCUCUUCUUUUUUCUCUUACUCUCGUGAGGGUGCAGGAUAUGUGUAAAUGUAUAUCAAAAAUGUUGCGACUUGAUUGUUAUUCUCUGACAAUUCUGUGUGCUUACCCAAUAUCUUAUGAGAGACCACCUUAAUCCUACGGUCAAAACUGAAGGGGUUUUUUUUUCUUUUUUAGUGAUAUCUAUGUGACUUUUGUUUUUCUUCUUUUCAAUAGACACUGAUCGAGACAAAAAUAUGAAGAUAUGCUCACACCUUUCUUGGUUUUUUUGAUAUGUCUUGGUGGUUCCCACUUAUG